UGGAGGGAAUCGACUGCCAGUUUAAGGAGUCAUUGUCCAGUUCAGACUCCAGAAUACGAAACGUAGAAACUGACAGGAAAUGACCAAGUAUAAAUUGCAACUUGUAAAGAAUCAUCUUAAAUCCUGGCACUGCGUUCAAGGGGGAGUUUGAGCAAGGAAUGUUGCUAAAACGGCUAAAACCAGGAACUCAGAAUAUCGUUCUACAAUAGAACCUAAAAACUGUUUCCAACCCAUCACGACAUCACCCUGAAAAAUGAGUGAGCAGUCACUGAGGCUUCCCAAGUUUGAAAAUUCCACAAGACUGAGAGCAAAUGUUUUGUUGAAACUGAAGUCAAGAUGAAGUCAGCUGACUCUCAAACCUCAGGUGAAGUGACUCAGGGCCCACACCCCGGUUCUGAGGCAGGGACACAUUUUACUUGCAGCACCCUGCAGCUUUGGAUGAGGCUGCAACCCGGGUGAAUCCUGGCCCUGCUAUCACGUGGGCAGCCACUGCAUCCUCCGGAGGCUGUGGAUGGGAGUCACCAUGCUGGGAGGUCUGGAGUAAGAUCUGUGCCAUCUGCCUUGCCCAAUCCUGUACCAGUGCCUGUGUUUCAAAAUCUCAAAAUAAAAGUGAUUAUUCUUGCAACACAUCUAGGUGUACUAAACGAAUAC
Molecule: long non-coding RNA, 651 nt
Filed under: Homo sapiens (human)
Lineage: Eukaryota; Metazoa; Chordata; Mammalia; Primates; Hominidae
Description: non-protein coding LINC00424:6
Source: RNAcentral